Molecule: long non-coding RNA, 1085 nt
Organism: Dinoponera quadriceps
Lineage: Eukaryota; Metazoa; Arthropoda; Insecta; Hymenoptera; Formicidae
Exons: 3
Source: RefSeq, a predicted model, not a curated record
CGCAUUCUCGCAGGACUCAAACGGCUGCGACUGCCAUCGUUCCGCGAAAUAAAGGACGCGUUUCCGAAAGCGAUCGACGUUUGAUGUUUCGCGCGCCCACAUAGGAGAAUGUCCCGGACAUUUCGGCUCCGUCGCUAACUGAAACUUCAGGACUCGCGGCCGUAAAGCCCUUCGCUUCGAGCGAACGAUUUUUGACAACAAGAAGAGACGAAAAAGGAUGUGGGAAAAGGGAUUGUGUACAGUCAGUCGCACAAGAGUGUAUACACCGCAUCGUACGGUCCUGUGUGCAAUAGGUUGCUGGAUCCUGGCGGGUUUGAAAACGGGAGGCGUCGAGUUCAUUUCGUCAUAUAGUAGAUGUGCCAGUAACGUUUCACAUUCAACGCAGACAUAAUCCGAGAUGAAUGAGGUAUAUUGGAAAUGUUUUGAAGCUGUGUUUUUGUGUUCGCAUCCGAAAGGCCCACAAAUGUCGUACAAAGAAGCUGCUAGGUAUAUCGGACGAUAAAAAGCAUUCAUCCAGAAGUGAAUGACGCGGUUUAAAACUAGUCACAAUGUCGACGAUUUUCCAAAGGGCGGGAAAACACGAGCCACGACACCGCACGAUAAUAAGUGCAUCAUGGAGUGUUCCGAACGAAUUUAUAAUUAACUCUGCGAUAAGUUCGAAAACUCUUGGAUAGGGUUCUCGAAAAAGAACGUGAAAGUUAGUCUGAUGACAAUCAAGCGCCGUUUGCGAGAGUUAGGACUUGCAUGGCGAGGUAAACGCGAGAAAAACUUUUGCUUAGCCGAAAACACAUUGAAAAACGAAUGUCAUGGGAAUCCAGCAGAAAACGUUUGGGCGUUUAUGAAAAGGAAACUUCAGAUGUGGCAUGUACGCUUUCGCGGGACAGACUAUACAAAGUCUCAACUGAGAUUUUCUCUCAAAUAUUUGAAAUCGAGACGAUUUGAAACUUACAUAAUUCUCCUUCUCUUCUUCUUCUAAAAUUUGCAUUUCUUUCAUUGCACCACUUUUCUUGCCGUAUAAUGCAUCGCAGCAGUUUAUCUCAAUUAUAAAAAUAUCGAAGAGAUAUGUACGAUGUAGAUAUAGUGCG